GGUAACCUACCUAUAAGACUGGAAUAACUCCGGGAAACCGGGGCUAAUGCCGGAUAACAUAUCGAACCGCAUGGUUCGAUAGUGAAAGACGGUCUUGCUGUCACUUAUAGAUGGACCCGCGCCGUAUUAGCUAGUUGGUGAGGUAACGGCUCACCAAGGCAACGAUACGUAGCCGACCUGAGAGGGUGAUCGGCCACACUGGAACUGAGACACGGUCCAGACUCCUACGGGAGGCA
Molecule: ribosomal RNA, 236 nt
Filed under: Staphylococcus chromogenes
Lineage: Bacteria; Bacillati; Bacillota; Bacilli; Caryophanales; Staphylococcaceae
Description: partial 16S ribosomal RNA
Rfam family: Bacterial small subunit ribosomal RNA
Source: RNAcentral